Molecule: unclassified non-coding RNA, 376 nt
Filed under: uncultured Pseudomonadota bacterium
Lineage: Bacteria; Pseudomonadati; Pseudomonadota
Description: uncultured proteobacterium contains 16S-23S intergenic spacer region
Source: RNAcentral
UCCGGUUUGUCACCGGCAGUCCCGUUAGAGUGCCCAACUGAAUGUGGCAACUAAUGGCAAGGGUUGCGCUCGUUGCGGGACUUAACCCAACAUCUCACGACACGAGCUGACGACAGCCAUGCAGCACCUGUGUCCAGGUUCCCUUUCGGGCACACUCCCAUCUCUGGGAGCUUCCUGGCAUGUCAAGGGUAGGUAAGGUUCUUCGCGUUGCCUCGAAUUAAACCACACGCUCCGCUGCUUGUGCGGGCCCCCGCCUAUUCCUUUGAGUUUCAACCUUGCGGCCGGACUCCCCAGGCGGAGUGCUUAACGCGUUAGCUGCGACACCGGCAGGCAAGCCCACCAACGUCCAGCACUCAUCGUUUACAGCGUGGACUAC